CGGGGUGAGUAAUGUCUGAGAAACUGCCUGAUGGAGGGGGAUAACUACUGGAAACGGUAGCUAAUACCGCAUAACGUCGCAAGACCAAAGAGGGGGACCUUCGGGCCUCUUGCCAUCGGAUGUGCCCAGAUGGGAUUAGCUAGUAGGUGGGGUAACGGCUCACCUAGGCGACGAUCCCUAGCUGGUCUGAGAGGAUGACCAGCCACACUGGAACUGAGACACGGUCCAG
This 229-nucleotide ribosomal RNA is filed under the name uncultured bacterium. Its description in RNAcentral is "partial 16S ribosomal RNA". It matches the Rfam family "Bacterial small subunit ribosomal RNA", at positions 104 to 334 of the family's 1533-position model. The record is from RNAcentral.